UGACUGUAACAGAUAAGGGUAGCAUCCCUGCCUUCAGGACAUCAUGACUAGGGGCCUAAUAGCCUUCAAGGAGGAUAGUCUGGGCAAUACCCCCAGGUUACUGCUGAGGAAGGAAUAGCCAGUCAUCACAACAGUGCAAAUAAACUCAGAGCUCAGCUUCUGCUGUCAUGGCCAAGCAACUGUGGUCUCCUGAGAAAGCAUCUAAGUGGGAACCGUCACCCAGCCACACCCUUCACUGUCUAUGAAGCAGACCCCUUAGAGAGACUUUUAAUGCCUUCAGGGCUUCAUUGUAUCUCUCCUCUAUGAACAGGAAAACAGAUGCUGGAUGCUUCAAAAUGAAGAGCUCCUGCUACCCCAUCUAAUAGGUCACAACGGAUUACAUUUCUGAAGGGCAAUUUCCCCCUUGCUCGUCACAUAAAAGACUUUCUCUGUUAUUUUAGCUGCUGGCUCCAGCUAAUGGACUGGAUUAGCCAGGGAGGUUAUUGAAUAUCUAUGUAAUUAAGAAGUAUCAGAUGUCACAGGGAAUGGCAAGGAGGAAGUUCGCAGCAAAGAAGAUAAGAGGGAUCAAUGCUGUGCGAAUCCUUCCUUGGAAAUGAACAUCUUCUUACCUGAGUCUGGAGAUGAUAGCCUGAAAUAAUGUUCCUUAUUUGCUUUUACCACCAUCAAGUUCCAGAA
RNAcentral lists this long non-coding RNA (675 nucleotides) under Fukomys damarensis (Damara mole-rat). RNAcentral's name for it is "lncRNA (ENSFDAG00000029334.1)". The record is from RNAcentral. Lineage: Eukaryota; Metazoa; Chordata; Mammalia; Rodentia; Bathyergidae.